GCUUACGACCAACACCGGCCUGAGUACGCCUGAUCUCGCUGAUCUCGGAAGCUAAACAGGGUUGGGGCCUGGUUAGUACUUGGAUGGGAGACUUCCUGGGAAUACCAGGUGCUGUAAGCU
Molecule: ribosomal RNA, 120 nt
Filed under: Oncorhynchus tshawytscha (Chinook salmon)
Lineage: Eukaryota; Metazoa; Chordata; Actinopteri; Salmoniformes; Salmonidae
Source: RNAcentral